GAUAUAAUCUAGAUAUUAUACAGGUACAUAGAACAGGUUAUUAAAGAUAUAAUCUAGAUAUUAUACAGGUACAUAGAACAGGUUAUUAAGAUAUAAUCUAGAUAUUAUACAGGUACAUAGAACAGGUUAUUAAGAUAUAAUCUAGAUAUUAUACAGGUACAUAGAACAGGUUAUUAAGAUAUAAUCUAGAUAUUAUACAGGUACAUAGAACAGGUUAUUAAGAUAUAAUCUAGAUAUUAUACAGGUACAUAGAACAGGUUAUUAAGAUAUAAUCUAGAUAUUAUACAGGUACAUAGAACAGGUUAUUAAGAUAUAAUCUAGAUAUUAUACAGGUACAUAGAACAGGUUAUUAAGAUAUAAUCUAGAUAUUAUACAGGUACAUAGAACAGGUUAUUAAAGAUAUAAUCUAGAUAUUAUACAGGUACAGGUUAUUAAGAUAUAAUCUAGAUAUUAUACAGGUACAUAGAACAGGUUAUUAAAGAUAUAAUCUAGAUAUUAUACAGGUACAGGUUAUUAAGAUAUAAUCUAGAUAUUAUACAGGUACAUAGAACAGGUUAUUAAGAUAUAAUCUAGAUAUUAUACAGGUACAUAGAACAGGUUAUUAAAGAUAUAAUCUAGAUAUUAUACAGGUACAGGUUAUUAAGAUAUAAUCUAGAUAUUAUACAGGUACAUAGAACAGGUUAUUAAAG
Molecule: long non-coding RNA, 689 nt
Organism: Oncorhynchus keta (chum salmon)
Lineage: Eukaryota; Metazoa; Chordata; Actinopteri; Salmoniformes; Salmonidae
Exons: 4
Source: RefSeq, a predicted model, not a curated record